AGUAACGCGUAGGAACCUGUCGUUGAGUGGGGGAUAACGCUGGGAAACCGGCGCUAAAACCGCAUGUGGUCACGCAAGUGAAGAAAGCAGCAAUGCGCUCGAUGAGGGGCCUGCGUCCGAUUAGCUAGUUGGUGUGGUAAGAGCGCACCAAGGCGACGAUCGGUAGCUGGUCUGAGAGGAUGGUCAGCCACACUGGGACUGAGACACGGCCCAG
RNAcentral lists this ribosomal RNA (214 nucleotides) under uncultured bacterium. Its description in RNAcentral is "partial 16S ribosomal RNA". It matches the Rfam family "Bacterial small subunit ribosomal RNA", at positions 109 to 334 of the family's 1533-position model. The record is from RNAcentral.